UGGCUCAGAUUGAACGCUGGCGGCAUGCCUUACACAUGCAAGUCGAACGGCAGCACGGAGCUUGCUCUGGUGGCGAGUGGCGAACGGGUGAGUAAUAUAUCGGAACGUACCCUAGAGUGGGGGAUAACGUAGCGAAAGUUACGCUAAUACCGCAUACGAUCUAAGGAUGAAAGUGGGGGAUCGCAAGACCUCAUGCUCGUGGAGCGGCCGAUAUCUGAUUAGCUAGUUGGUAGGGUAAAAGCCUACCAAGGCAUCGAUCAGUAGCUGGUCUGAGAGGACGACCAGCCACACUGGAACUGAGACACGGUCCAGACUCCUACGGGAGGCAGCAGUGGGGAAUUUUGGACAAUGGGCGAAAGCCUGAUCCAGCAAUGCCGCGUGAGUGAAGAAGGCCCUCGGGUUGUAAAGCUCUUUUGUCAGGGAAGAAACGGUGAGAGCUAAUAUCUCUUGCUAAUGACGGUACCUGAAGAAUAAGCACCGGCUAACUACGUGCCAGCAGCCGCGGUAAUACGUAGGGUGCAAGCGUUAAUCGGAAUUACUGGGCGUAAAGCGUGCGCAGGCGGUUUUGUAAGUCUGAUGUGAAAUCCCCGGGCUCAACCUGGGAAUUGCAUUGGAGACUGCAAGGCUAGAAUCUGGCAGAGGGGGGUAGAAUUCCACGUGUAGCAGUGAAAUGCGUA
RNAcentral lists this ribosomal RNA (677 nucleotides) under uncultured bacterium. RNAcentral's name for it is "bacterial SSU rRNA". It matches the Rfam family "Bacterial small subunit ribosomal RNA", at positions 20 to 692 of the family's 1533-position model. The record is from RNAcentral.